GACCCUGACCUCGGUGUUUGUCGCGCCGGCCACGACAGAAGACAACACUGACCCUCAUGUAUGAAUGAAGGAACGUUGGCCAAAAGCCCUGGACCAGGAGUCAAGGUUGGCGCAGCUGUGAUGGGAGGAGGUGAGUCUCUGCAAGGAAGAGGUUCAAGUCCUUAUCUGCCCCCCCCAGCCCCAAGGACUUGGGGAGCAACCAUCCUCGUCCAGGCCCAGGUUUGCCUCAGCCUCGUGUGGAUUGGUAGAGAUGGGCAGGAAGCAAGGAACUGGAAACAAGAAAUGAAGGGGCCUCCGUAGUAGGAUGAUUUCUCAGCAUGGUGCCCAGUGACCCUCACCCUUUUUAAAAAAAAUUUUGUUUUCAUAUUUAUUUAUUUUUGAGGUUGAGAGAGAGAGAGGGACACAGCGUGAGUGGGGAAGGGGCAGAGAGAGACGGAGACACAGAACUCAAAGCAGGCUCCAGGCUCUGAGCUGUCAGCACAGAACCUGAUGCGGGGCUUGAACCUGUGAGAUCUUGACCUGACCCGAAGUCAGAUGCUCAACUGACUGAGUCACCUAGGCACCCUGACCCUCACCCUUCUAUACUCCUCCCACCUUUGGAGUGCCGGGAGGGUGGGGGGGGGUCAUGUGAACAUGGUAAGAUACCACUCCCAUAAUCAUGUUAAGUUAUAUGACAGAAGGGAGGCCAAGCAGAUGUGUCUAAUCUAUUCACAUAAGCCCUUUAUUUUUUAAUAUUUUAAUUUUUUAAAAUAUUUAUUUAGUUUUGAGAGAGAGAGAGAAUAAGCGGGGGAGGGCCAGAGAGAAACGGAGAUACAGAAUCCAAAGCAGGCUCCAGGCUCUGAGUUGUCAGCACAGAGCCCAACACAGAGCUCGAACUCACGAACCAUGAGAUCAUGACCUGAGCCAAAGUUGGACGCCCAACUGACCGAGCCACCCAGGUGCCCAGUCACAUGAACCCUUUAAAAGCAGAGAAUGUUCUCUGCUCUUCACAGAGGAGGAAUCAGAGAUUGGACUGGAGGGGGAUUUGAAGUUUCUUACCACGGGUUCCGAAUGAGAGCCCAGUCUGGCUGAACACUUGAUUUUGGUCUUGUAAAACCUAGACAGAGAACUCAGGCCCUCCUGGACUUUUGACCUGCGCUAAAAUGUAAGAACUGGGCAUUAUUUUAAGCGCUGACUUUGUGGUCAUUUGUGAGGCAGGGUUAGAAAAGCAGCAGAGGCCUGCUAUCGCU
RNAcentral lists this long non-coding RNA (1229 nucleotides) under Lynx canadensis (Canada lynx). RNAcentral's name for it is "lncRNA (ENSLCNG00005003071.1)". The record is from RNAcentral. Lineage: Eukaryota; Metazoa; Chordata; Mammalia; Carnivora; Felidae.